Molecule: ribosomal RNA, 809 nt
Filed under: uncultured bacterium
Lineage: Bacteria
Description: bacterial SSU rRNA
Rfam family: Bacterial small subunit ribosomal RNA
Source: RNAcentral
GGAAUUCGCCCUUAGAGUUUGAUCCUGGCUCAAGAUGAACGCUGGCGGCGAGCUUAACACAUGCAAGUCGAACGAAGCACUUUAUUUGAUUUCCUUCGGAACUGAUUAUUUUGUGACUGAGUGGCGGACGGGUGAGUAACGCGUGGGUAACCUGCCUUGUACAGGGGGAUAACAGUUGGAAACGGCUGCUAAUACCGCAUAAGCGCACGGCAUCGCAUGAUGCAGUGUGAAAAACUCCGGUGGUAUAAGAUGGACCCGCGUUGGAUUAGCUAGUUGGUGAGGUAACGGCCCACCAAGGCGACGAUCCAUAGCCGACCUGAGAGGGUGACCGGCCACAUUGGGACUGAGACACGGCCCAAACUCCUACGGGAGGCAGCAGUGGGGAAUAUUGCACAAUGGGCGAAAGCCUGAUGCAGCGACGCCGCGUGAGCGAAGAAGUAUUUCGGUAUGUAAAGCUCUAUCAGCAGGGAAGAUAAUGACGGUACCUGACUAAGAAGCACCGGCUAAAUACGUGCCAGCAGCCGCGGUAAUACGUAUGGUGCAAGCGUUAUCCGGAUUUACUGGGUGUAAAGGGAGCGCAGGCGGUGCGGCAAGUCUGAUGUGAAAGCCCGGGGCUCAACCCCGGUACUGCAUUGGAAACUGUCGUACUAGAGUGUCGGAGGGGUAAGCGGAAUUCCUAGUGUAGCGGUGAAAUGCGUAGAUAUUAGGAGGAACACCAGUGGCGAAGGCGGCUUACUGGACGAUAACUGACGCUGAGGCUCGAAAGCGUGGGGAGCAAACAAAAUUAGAUACCCUGGUAGUCCACGCCG